ACGGGAGGCAGCAGUGGGGGAUAUUGCACAAUGGGGGAAACCCUGAUGCAGCGACGCCGCGUGAGUGAAGAAGUAUUUCGGUAUGUAAAGCUCUUUAAGCUGGAAAGAUAAUGACGGUACCAGCAGAAUAAGCCCCGGCUAACUACGUGCCAGCAGCCGCGGUAAUACGUAGGGGGCAAGCGUUAUCCGGAUUUACUGGGUGUAAAGGGAGCGUAGACGGUUUGGCAAGUCUGAAGUGAAAUGCGGGGGCUCAACUCCUGAACUGCUUUGGAAACUGUCGAACUAGAGUGCAGGAGAGGUAAGUGGAAUUCCUAGUGUAGCGGUGAAAUGCGUAGAUAUUAGGAGGAACACCAGUGGCGAAGGCGGCUUACUGGACUGUAACUGACGUUGAGGCUCGAAAGCGUGGGGAGCAAACAGGAUUAGAUACCCUGGUA
Molecule: ribosomal RNA, 434 nt
Filed under: uncultured Clostridium sp.
Lineage: Bacteria; Bacillati; Bacillota; Clostridia; Eubacteriales; Clostridiaceae
Description: partial 16S ribosomal RNA
Rfam family: Bacterial small subunit ribosomal RNA
Source: RNAcentral